GAGGGUUUGGGUUUCGGACCAAAACGCUCUCUAUAAAAUAAGCUACAAUGGAACUGUGACUGUUAUUGGGAGCAAAAUUUAGGGUUGCAGACGCCGCAAUCUAUUCAUCAUCAAUGUUCUCUGGAAUUCUGGUUUUCGGUUGAUUUGUCAUCUUUUCAAUUCGUUUCGCUUAGCAAAUACGAUGCAAUGAAGAGAAACAGGGAAAUAAUCAUCGAUUGUGGGUCGUUCCGCAAUAUGAUACGUUUCGCCCUUGUGGUUCGUAUUCACUGAGCAUCAUCCCGGCGCUUUAUUUGUGUUUUUUUCUUUUCUUUUAUUAAAGAAUUCGUAUAUUUGCAUUGAGAAUGGAAUCGAAGGUUCCUAUGGAGGAAACGCUUUAAGUCGGUGCGUUUUUAUUCAAGUUUGCCUUCGGAGAUUGAAUCCAGAUCUCAUCUCAACUCCGAAAGUGUUCCCGUAUUUCGAUUGGAUCCACUUCUGAUGAUGAUUUUCUUACAUUAUUAUGUUUUUGUUAGUAUAAGGAAUGCGAAGGUCCCAGCAGGGGGGCGAUUACUCUUGUUGAGGCCUCUCUAACAAUCAAAUUCUAUUCCCUUCGCAUAGUUAUUCGCCGAAUCGUAGGAUGCCCAAAUUUUCUUCAAUUUUGGUAAUGUACGUUGAAGCCUAGAGCAAUUCAGAGAAAGUAUGAAAACAGAGAAAGCCUGGAAGUACGUAGAAAGUCAAGUUCUAUGUAUUUUUACUAGCAAUAAAAGCCAAAUUCUUCUCUUUGGAAGAAGCAUAACAGAGACAAAUGGCUAGCUGAAACUCUGACCAAAUUGGUGAAAAAUUCAGUCCAGCAAAUGACAUUUACUCUACCUUUUUA
Long non-coding RNA from Vigna angularis (adzuki bean), 853 nucleotides. RefSeq lists it as uncharacterized. NCBI's taxonomy places the organism in Eukaryota, Viridiplantae, Streptophyta, Magnoliopsida, Fabales, Fabaceae. The record is from RefSeq and is a predicted model, not a curated record. The transcript is spliced from 2 exons.